Molecule: ribosomal RNA, 274 nt
Filed under: uncultured bacterium
Lineage: Bacteria
Description: partial 16S ribosomal RNA
Rfam family: Bacterial small subunit ribosomal RNA
Source: RNAcentral
GGUGAACGCUGGCGGCGUGGAUGAGGCAUGCAAGUCGAAUGGGUUUAGACCCAUGGCAGACGAGGUAGGAACACGUAGGUACAUACCGUAGAGUCGGGGAUAACCCGGAGAAAUCCGGAAUAAUACUCGAUAGUCCCUUCGGGGUAAAGAUUUAUCGCUCUAUGAAUGGCCUGCGUUCUAUCAGCUUGAUGGUAAGGUAACGGCUUACCAUGGCUACGACGGAUAGGGGAGGUGAGAGCCUGACCCCCACCGAUGGAACUGCGACACGGUCCAU